CCUACGGGAGGCAGCAGUGGGGAAUAUUGCACAAUGGGCGAAAGCCUGAUGCAGCGACGCCGCGUGAGGGAUGACGGCCUUCGGGUUGUAAACCUCUUUCAGCAGGGACGAAGCGCAAGUGACGGUACCUGCAGAAGAAGCACCGGCUAACUACGUGCCAGCAGCCGCGGUAAU
This 174-nucleotide ribosomal RNA is filed under the name uncultured bacterium. RNAcentral describes it as "partial 16S ribosomal RNA". It matches the Rfam family "Bacterial small subunit ribosomal RNA", at positions 338 to 524 of the family's 1533-position model. The record is from RNAcentral. RNAcentral also lists the same sequence under 3 other names.